This is a non-coding RNA of Cinara cedri, 220 nucleotides long. Lineage: Eukaryota; Metazoa; Arthropoda; Insecta; Hemiptera; Aphididae. The record is from the annotation of a GenBank genome assembly.
UGAUUUUUUUUGUUAUCACGACCAGCAUUUAUCUCAGAGGAUUUUAACCGAAUCUGAUUGCUGUUUUUUCGAAUCAUUAUGCAUUUCUUUAAGCUAUAUUCUAAAACCAUUUCAAAUUUUUUACCCCUACUCCAUAAACCUUAAAUAUGUACAUACUUUUGAUUUUCAAAAAGAACUCUACCCCCUCUCCUUUGAAUACAAACUUUUCUAUUCCUGUUCU